AUGCUGGACCGAUCAAGCGCGCCUAGGCCGGACGGCCUCGGCCCGGCGUUCUACCAGGCGGCAUGGGGCGUCGUCUUCAAGGACCUGCAGCGGCUGUUCGCUGUUGUCCACGACUGGACGGCGAACAUCGCCCUCGUGCCCAAAGGUGCGGGGGUGCCAACGCCGGCUGCCUUUCGCCCGGUCUCUCUUCAGAAUGCGGAUGUAAAAAUUCUUUGCCGCGGCCUCACCUCGCAGCUGCAGCAGCAGAUCGGCGGCAUCAUCGACUGCGAUCAGUCCGGGUUCCUGGUUGGUCGGAGCAUCUCCGAGAACUUUGUCUGCGCCGCCGAGAUCAUCAAGUGCUGCCACAAGCGCCGUGCCCCCACGCUCGUCUUCAAGCUCGACUUCGCCAAGGCAUUUGACUCUGUGGACUGGGGUGCGCUGCGCCGCAUCCUCGAGGUGCGAGGGUUCCCUGCCCAAUGGUGCUCCUGGCUGGACUCGAUCUUCCGGUCCUCUCGAUCGGCGGUGCUCCUGAACGGUGUGCCUGGGAAAUGGUACACGGUGCGGCGGGCGCUGCGUCAGGGGGACCCGAGCUCGCCCUACCUCUUCCUCAUCGUCGCCGACGUGCUGCAGCAGAUGAUCCGGCAAGAUGGCAGGCUUUUUCACCCUCUUGUGGACGGAGAGACGCCCCUCGUGCUGCAAUAUGCAGACGAUACGCUGGUUAUUCUCAAGGUGGACACCGGAGCGGCUGCCCGUCUCCGAUGGAUCCUUGACGACUUCGCGGCCGCUACGGGGCUCGCCAUCAACUUCUCCAAAAGCACGCUCGUCCACAUGCAUGUGCCGGCGGACGUGCUGGACAUAACCGUCGGCGCCCUUGGUUGUGAUGUCCAAGGAUUCCCGCAGGCUUACCUCGGGCUCCCUCUCUCAUGGAGAAACUCUGCUUUGCGGAUUUCCUCCCCAUGA
Molecule: ribosomal RNA, 939 nt
Filed under: Triticum aestivum (bread wheat)
Lineage: Eukaryota; Viridiplantae; Streptophyta; Magnoliopsida; Poales; Poaceae
Description: partial small subunit ribosomal RNA
Source: RNAcentral